This 240-nucleotide ribosomal RNA is filed under the name uncultured Geobacteraceae bacterium. Its description in RNAcentral is "partial 16S ribosomal RNA". It matches the Rfam family "Bacterial small subunit ribosomal RNA", at positions 299 to 530 of the family's 1533-position model. Lineage: Bacteria; Pseudomonadati; Thermodesulfobacteriota; Desulfuromonadia; Geobacterales; Geobacteraceae. The record is from RNAcentral.
GAUGAUCAGUCACACUGGAACUGAGACACGGUCCAGACUCCUACGGGAGGCAGCAGUGGGGAAUAUUGGACAAUGGGCGAAAGCCUGAUCCAGCCAUGCCGCGUGAGUGAUGAAGGCCUUCGGGUCGUAAAGCUCUGUCAGAGGGGAAGAACCGCCGGGUGGCUAAUACCUGCCUGGUCUGACGGUACCCUCAAAGGAAGCACCGGCUAACUCCGUGCCAGCAGCCGCGGUAAUACAAGG